UCAUUGGUGGUUCAGUGGUAGAACUCUUACCUUCUAUGCAGGAGGCCCAGGUUCGAUUCCUGGCCAAUGCA
Transfer RNA from Loxodonta africana (African savanna elephant), 71 nucleotides. It matches the Rfam family "tRNA". Rfam says of the family: Transfer RNA (tRNA) molecules are approximately 80 nucleotides in length. Their secondary structure includes four short double-helical elements and three loops (D, anti-codon, and T loops). The record is from Rfam. NCBI's taxonomy places the organism in Eukaryota, Metazoa, Chordata, Mammalia, Proboscidea, Elephantidae.